UUGACCUCGGAUCAGGUAGGAAUACCCGUGAACUAUCUGCUUCUUUUUUU
RNAcentral lists this ribosomal RNA (50 nucleotides) under Fusarium sacchari. RNAcentral describes it as "partial large subunit ribosomal RNA". The record is from RNAcentral. Lineage: Eukaryota; Fungi; Ascomycota; Sordariomycetes; Hypocreales; Nectriaceae.